GACGAACGCUGGCGGCAUGCCUAACACAUGCAAGUCGAACGAGACCUUCGGGUCUAGUGGCGCACGGCUGCGUAACGCGUGGGAAUCUGCCCUUGGGUUCGGAAUCACAGUUGUAAACGACUGCUAAUACCGGAUGAUGACGUAAGUCCAAAGAUUUAUCGCCACAGGAUGAGCCCGCGUAGGAUUCGCUAGUUGGUGAGGUAAAGGCUCACCAAGGCGACGAUCCUUAGCUGGUCUGAGAGGAUGAUCAUCCACACUGGGACUGAGACACGGCCCAGACUCCUACGGGAGGCAGCAGUGGGGAAUAUUGGACAAUGGGCGAAAGCCUGAUCAAGCAAUGCCGCGUGAGUGAUGAAGGCGUUAGGUUUGUAAAGCUCUUUUACCCGGGAUGAUAAUGACAGUACCGGGAGAAUAAGCUCCGGCUAACUCCGUG
This 433-nucleotide ribosomal RNA is filed under the name uncultured bacterium. RNAcentral's name for it is "partial 16S ribosomal RNA". It matches the Rfam family "Bacterial small subunit ribosomal RNA", at positions 28 to 507 of the family's 1533-position model. The record is from RNAcentral.